Brassica napus (rape) is the source of this 266-nucleotide long non-coding RNA. RefSeq lists it as uncharacterized. The record is from RefSeq and is a predicted model, not a curated record. NCBI's taxonomy places the organism in Eukaryota, Viridiplantae, Streptophyta, Magnoliopsida, Brassicales, Brassicaceae. The transcript is spliced from 2 exons.
AAAGUAAAGUGUGAUUAGCUUGAGCUCGAGUCUAGUCUUCCUUAGCCAAUCUCAUGGAUUUAAAGGUAACCAGUAGGUGGGAGACCUUUACUCUAGGACGGGAAGGAACGGCAUUAGCCAGCGGUAGUUUUAUUAUCCUUGCAGUCGUUUUGAUAUACUUUAUGUAUAAGGUUUGUUGACCGAAACCCUCGAGGUUAAUCUAUAAGAUUUUGUAAGAUUCUUUUAAAUGAAUAAGUAUAUAGUGUAUAAAGAAUGUUUUUAAAGUA